RNAcentral lists this long non-coding RNA (203 nucleotides) under Elaeis guineensis (African oil palm). RNAcentral's name for it is "long non-coding RNA (EGUI_LNC054050)". The record is from RNAcentral. Lineage: Eukaryota; Viridiplantae; Streptophyta; Magnoliopsida; Arecales; Arecaceae.
UGCUGGUCCAAUACUUGGAUAUAUGCUCCUUCAGAUUGCUUGUAGUUGCAUGAAGACGUUCGGCCUCUGUAGAACGUCCACACGAAGACUAGCGCAGAUCAGGCUCCUUGGAAGUGCUAGCUUGUGAGGAUCUUCAAGGUUGAUUUCUCCCUUCUUCAAGACUCUUGGAUGCUCCAAAGGUAGAGAAGAUCUGGAGGAGGAAG